GAGUCUGCAACCCGACUCCAUGAAGCUGGAUUCGCUAGUAAUCGCGCAUCAGCCACGGCGCGGUGAAUACGUUCCCGGGCCUUGUACACACCGCCCGUCAAGCCAUGGAAGCCGGGAGUACCUGAAGAUCGUGACCGCGAGGAACGGGCUAGGGUAAUACCGGUAACUGGGGCUAAGUCGUAACAAGGUAGC
This 192-nucleotide ribosomal RNA is filed under the name uncultured bacterium. RNAcentral's name for it is "partial 16S ribosomal RNA". It matches the Rfam family "Bacterial small subunit ribosomal RNA", at positions 1301 to 1500 of the family's 1533-position model. The record is from RNAcentral.